RNAcentral lists this ribosomal RNA (716 nucleotides) under Bacillus sp. (in: firmicutes). RNAcentral's name for it is "bacterial SSU rRNA". It matches the Rfam family "Bacterial small subunit ribosomal RNA", at positions 79 to 780 of the family's 1533-position model. Lineage: Bacteria; Bacillati; Bacillota; Bacilli; Caryophanales; Bacillaceae. The record is from RNAcentral.
CUUGCUUUUGAAGAUCAGCGGCGGACGGGUGAGUAACACGUGGGCAACCUGCCUGUAAGACUGGGAUAACUUCGGGAAACCGGAGCUAAUACCGGAUAAUCCUUUCCCUCUCAUGAGGGAAAGCUGAAAGACGGUUUCGGCUGUCACUUACAGAUGGGCCCGCGGCGCAUUAGCUAGUUGGUGAGGUAACGGCUCACCAAGGCAACGAUGCGUAGCCGACCUGAGAGGGUGAUCGGCCACACUGGGACUGAGACACGGCCCAGACUCCUACGGGAGGCAGCAGUAGGGAAUCUUCCGCAAUGGACGAAAGUCUGACGGAGCAACGCCGCGUGAACGAUGAAGGCCUUCGGGUCGUAAAGCUCUGUUGUCAGGGAAGAACAAGUACCGGAGUAACUGCCGGUACCUUGACGGUACCUGACCAGAAAGCCACGGCUAACUACGUGCCAGCAGCCGCGGUAAUACGUAGGUGGCAAGCGUUGUCCGGAAUUAUUGGGCGUAAAGCGCGCGCAGGCGGUUCCUUAAGUCUGAUGUGAAAGCCCCCGGCUCAACCGGGGAGGGUCAUUGGAAACUGGGGAACUUGAGUGCAGAAGAGGAGAGCGGAAUUCCACGUGUAGCGGUGAAAUGCGUAGAGAUGUGGAGGAACACCAGUGGCGAAGGCGGCUCUCUGGUCUGUAACUGACGCUGAGGCGCGAAAGCGUGGGGAGCGAACAGGAUUA